GAUGAACGCUGGCGGCGUGCCUAAUACAUGCAAGUCGAGCGAACGGACGAGAAGCUUUCUCCUCUGAUGUUAGCGGCGGACGGGUGAGUAACACGUGGAUAACCUACCUAUAAGACUGGGAUAACUUCGGGAAACCGUAGCUAAUACCGGAUAAUAUUUUGAACCGCAUGGUUCAAAAGUGAAAGACGGUCUUGCUGUCACUUAUAGAUGGAUCCGCGCUGCAUUAGCUAGUUGGUAAGGUAACGGCUUACCAAGGCAACGAUGCAUAGCCGACCUGAGAGGGUGAUCGGCCACACUGGAACUGAGACACGGUCCAGACUCCUACGGGAGGCAGCAGUGGGGAAUCUUGCGCAAUGGGCGAAAGCCUGACGGAGCAAUGCCGCGUGAGUGAUGAAGGUCUUCGGAUCGUAAAACCCUGUUAUUAGGGAAGAACAGAUGUGGAAGUAACUGUGCACAUCUUGACGGUACCUAAACAGAAAGCCACGGCUAACUACGUG
RNAcentral lists this ribosomal RNA (497 nucleotides) under uncultured bacterium. RNAcentral describes it as "partial 16S ribosomal RNA". It matches the Rfam family "Bacterial small subunit ribosomal RNA", at positions 28 to 507 of the family's 1533-position model. The record is from RNAcentral.